RNAcentral lists this ribosomal RNA (430 nucleotides) under uncultured bacterium. Its description in RNAcentral is "bacterial SSU rRNA". It matches the Rfam family "Bacterial small subunit ribosomal RNA", at positions 917 to 1345 of the family's 1533-position model. The record is from RNAcentral.
GGACCCGCACAAGUAGUGGAGCAUGUGGUUUAAUUCGAAGAUACGCGCAGAACCUUACCAACACUUGACAUGUUCGUCGCGACUCUAAGAGAUUAGAGUUUUCGGUUCGGCCGGACGAAACACAGGUGCUGCAUGGCUGUCGUCAGCUCGUGUCGUGAGAUGUUGGGUUAAGUCCCGCAACGAGCGCAACCCUCACUUUUAGUUGCCAUCAUUUAGUUGGGCACUCUGAAAGAACUGCCAGUGAUAAGCUGGAGGAAGGUGGGGAUGACGUCAAGUCCUCAUGGCCCUUACGUGUUGGGCUACACACGUGCUACAAUGGUAUCUACAACAGGAAGCAAGACUGCGAAGUUAAGCAAAUCCUCAAAAGAUACCUCAGUUCGGAUUGCACUCUGCAACUCGAGUGCAUGAAGCUGGAAUUACUAGUAAUCGU